AACCGUAGGAGUCAAGCGUUAUCCGAAUGUACUGGGCGUAAAGCGCGUGCAGGCGGCAUAGCAAGUUGGAUGUGAAAGCUCCUGGCUCAACUGGGAGAGGACGUACAAAACUGCUAAGCUAGAGGGUGGGAGAGGGAGGUGGAAUUCCCGGUGUAGUGGUGAAAUGCGUAGAUAUCGGGAGGAACACCAGAGGCGAAGGCGGCCUCCUGGCCCGCACCUGACGCUGAGACGCGAAAGCUAGGGGAGCGAACGGGAUUAGAAACCCUAGUAGUCC
RNAcentral lists this ribosomal RNA (274 nucleotides) under uncultured bacterium. RNAcentral's name for it is "partial 16S ribosomal RNA". It matches the Rfam family "Bacterial small subunit ribosomal RNA", at positions 523 to 796 of the family's 1533-position model. The record is from RNAcentral.